UACAGAGGUCCCAAUCGUUGUUCGGAUUCAUUGGGCGUAAAGGGUGCGUAGGCGGUGCCGUAAGUCGGGUGUGAAAUCCCGGGGCUCAACCCCGGAACUGCACUCGAUACUGCGGUGCUCGAGGACUGGAGAGGAGACUGGAAUUCACGGUGUAGCAGUGAAAUGCGUAGAUAUCGUGAGGAAGGCCAGUGGCGAAGGCGGGUCUCUGGACAGUUCCUGACGCUGAGGCACGAAGGCUGGGGGAGAAAACGGG
RNAcentral lists this ribosomal RNA (253 nucleotides) under uncultured bacterium. RNAcentral's name for it is "partial 16S ribosomal RNA". It matches the Rfam family "Bacterial small subunit ribosomal RNA", at positions 524 to 776 of the family's 1533-position model. The record is from RNAcentral.